Molecule: ribosomal RNA, 440 nt
Filed under: uncultured bacterium
Lineage: Bacteria
Description: partial 16S ribosomal RNA
Rfam family: Bacterial small subunit ribosomal RNA
Source: RNAcentral
CCUACGGGAGGCAGCAGUGGGGAAUAUUGCACAAUGGGGGAAACCCUGAUGCAGCGACGCCGCGUGAGUGAGGAAGGAUUUCGGGAUGUAAAGCUCUAUCAGCAGGGAAGAAAAUGACGGUACCUGACUAAGAAGCCCCGGCUAACUACGUGCCAGCAGCCGCGGUAAUACGUAGGGGGCAAGCGUUAUCCGGAUUGACUGGGUGGAAAGGGAGCGUAGACGGCUAGUCAAGUCAGAAGUGAAAGCCCAGGGCUCAACCUUGGGACUGCUUUUGAAACUGAGUAGCUAGAGUGCAGGAGAGGUAAGCGGAAUUCCUCGUGUAGCGGUGACAUGCGUAGAUAUUAGGAGGAACACCAGUGGCGACGGCGGCUUACUGGACUGUAACUGACGUUGAGGCUCGAAAGCGUGGGGAGCAAACAGGAUUAGAUACCCGUGUAGUC